RNAcentral lists this ribosomal RNA (461 nucleotides) under uncultured bacterium. Its description in RNAcentral is "partial 16S ribosomal RNA". It matches the Rfam family "Bacterial small subunit ribosomal RNA", at positions 339 to 795 of the family's 1533-position model. The record is from RNAcentral.
CUACGGGAGGCUGCAGUCGAUAAUCUUCCGCAAUGGACGAAAGUCUGACGGAGCGACGCCGCGUGCGGGAUGAAGGCCUUCGGGUUGUAAACCGCUGUCAGUGGGGAGGAAAUGCAUCAGGGUUCUCCCUGGUGUUUGACCGAUCCGCAGAGGAAGCGCAGGCUAAGUUCGUGCCAGCAGCCGCGGUAACACGAACUGCGCGAACGUUAUUCGGAAUCACUGGGCUUAAAGAGUUCGUAGGCGGCCUUUCAAGUCGGGUGUGAAAUCCCUCGGCUCAACCGAGGAAUUGCGCCUGAUACUGUUGGGCUUGAGGGGGAUAGGGGUGAGCGGAACUGAUGGUGGAGCGGUGAAAUGCGUUGAUAUCAUCAGGAACACCGGUGGCGAAGGCGGCUCACUGGAUCUCUUCUGACGCUGAGGAACGAAAGCUAGGGGAGCGAACGGGAUUAGAUACCCUCGUAGUC